Molecule: long non-coding RNA, 333 nt
Organism: Bombus pascuorum
Lineage: Eukaryota; Metazoa; Arthropoda; Insecta; Hymenoptera; Apidae
Exons: 2
Source: RefSeq, a predicted model, not a curated record
AAUAUUCAAUAAAAAUCUUUCGUUUUACUAAAAUGACUAACUAACUAUAAUGACUAAUGAGUAGCUUUUAUUUGUAAAACCGCUGUAAUAAUUUUUACAAGUAGUUUUGUACAGUGCCUGUUUACGUAUUAAUUGACAAAAGUAAAACCAGAUUGGAAGCUAUUAUAGCACAUGCAUGAAAAAGGUACGUGGAUUGAUGCUUGUGACUCAAAAGAUUUAAAAAGAUUGAUGUUUCUAAACGAUCAUUUAUUCCAACUUGUACUGAAAAGAGUUAAUACUUAAAAGUAAAAAAUUGAAUUGAAUUUAGAACCUAACUUUAUUUAUCAAGAAAUA